AGAGUUUGAUCCUGGCUCAGGACGAACGCUGGCGGCGUGCCUAACACAUGCAAGUCGAACGGUCCUUUUACUUAAAGCAAUUUAGGUAAAAGGAUAGUGGCGGACGGGUGAGUAACGCGUGGGUAACCUGCCCAACAGACCGGGACAACACUUGGAAACGAGUGCUAAUACCGGAUAGCCUUUGACCCUGGCAUCAGGGACGGAGGAAAGGUGGCCUCUAUAUAAAAGCUACCGUUGUUGGAUGGACCCGCGUCUGAUUAGCUGGUUGGUGGGGUAACGGCCUACCAAGGCGACGAUCAGUAGCCGGCCUGAGAGGGUGAACGGCCACACUGGGACCGAGACACGGCCCAGACUCCUACGGGAGGCAGCAGUGGGGAAUCUUCCGCAAUGGACGAAAGUCUGACGGAGCAACGCCGCGUGUAUGACGAAGGCCUUCGGGUUGUAAAAUACUGUCUUUGGGGACGAAUGUUAGCUAUGAAAAUAUUG
RNAcentral lists this ribosomal RNA (486 nucleotides) under uncultured bacterium. Its description in RNAcentral is "bacterial SSU rRNA". It matches the Rfam family "Bacterial small subunit ribosomal RNA", at positions 8 to 471 of the family's 1533-position model. The record is from RNAcentral.